Long non-coding RNA from Equus caballus (horse), 5139 nucleotides. NCBI's taxonomy places the organism in Eukaryota, Metazoa, Chordata, Mammalia, Perissodactyla, Equidae. The record is from Ensembl.
CAGCUGUGUGGAUGAGAAGGGUUAGUCUGGGGACAGGCGUCGGAAGGACGGGAGCAGGAAAGACUCCAGGUGAUGCAGGCACGCAUAGCAUGGCGGGCCUGUAAUCUCAGGGAAUGUUCCACAGCUGCUUCGUCGUCUCAAGCACAGACCCCUCUCGAGUCCUCCACCUCCUCAUCUUCUCUGUGCCAAUCACCAGCUGGGAACUUUCAGUCCCCUAGGAACUGAGCUCCGCUGUAAAGCACCGCUUUCAAUGGAGAGAAAUGCUGUUCAUCUCUUAUGAUAUAUCCUGUUUGAAGCUUCCAAAUAUUGCUUUUUUAUUUUGAUUUUUAAAAACAGAACUACUCCAAAGGGUAGUGAGCACUGGGAAGCUGAGGCUGUGGUCUAAAUUCCCCCUGAAAGUCGUAACCACGGUGAGAUUUUGUCUGUGUAUCAAUCAUACCGUGUCCAUCCUCGUUCUCUGUUCCCGUCACUCCAAGUGUGAGAAGAGACGGAGGACUGCGACAAAGGAGAAGUUCCAGGACUCUGCCUUCUGUUUCUCCUUUUUCUUUUCCAGAGUAAAAUCACCUUGAAAUUACUGGCUACACUUGGAGCCUCUCUUUGUUGCCACAGCUGAAGUCAGAGCAAACCUACAACCUUGACAAACCCAGAGGAAGAAGUCCUCUGCGCAGACACUAAAGUGGUGGUUCCCAUGACCCAGUGAAGUACGAAUACAAGGAAUUCAAAAUCCUUAAGGGGCCCCCCUCAAUGUGUAAUGUACCGUGCUAGCAGCAAACGCUGAAGAAUUUUUCCUCAAGUUUAGGGACACGGAGUUUGCGUUCUGUCAGAGUAACAGUCUGCAUUGAAGCGGAGGUCUCUCAUGAGGCUGCAGUCAAGAUGUCGGCCAGGGCUGCGGUCAUGGGAAGGCGUCACUGGGGCUGGAGGAUCCGUUUCCAGGACGGCUCACUCAUCCAGAUGGAAACGUGAUGCUGGCUGUUGUGAGGAGGCCUCGUUCCUCUCCACACGUCCUUCUCCACAGGCCUGCUUGAGUGUCCUCCUGACAUGGCGUCAGCUCUCCCAGAGCAAGUGAUUCUAGAGAAAGCAAGGCAGAAGCCUCAAUAAUUUUAAUGACCUAGUCUCUUAAGUCACACUCUGUCAUUUCUCUGAUAUCCUACUGGUCCCAUAGUCAGCCCUUUUCAGUGUGAGAGAGGACUAUGCACAGGUGUGGAUACCAGGAGGCGAGAGUCAUUGGGGCCACGUUGGAGGUUGGCUAUCGCAAAGAGCUCCCAUCCACUGAGAGCUGACUUGCUAGGCAGCUGGUCAAGCACUUUACACACAAUUACCCUCCAGGAUUAUUGUUUUCUUACUAUCCCCAUUUUACAGAUGAGGAAACUGAGGCUUGAAGAGGGUAAAUGACUUUCCCAAAGUUUUCCCAUGCCCAGCUUGCCCUUGGUUUGCACCUCGAAGGAUCGGCCUUCGAAGGAAAAGCCUUGCUUUUCAUUGAGCACACAAGCCUUGAGUACCCACUAUGAGGCGGGCACUGUGUUAGGAUCUGGGAAUCCAAGUAUGGCAAGACCCAGGUCCUGAGGCACGUGAAAGAGUUAUAGGUACAAAGAUAGCGCUGGAUUUAAGGGACAGUGGGGCUCACCCAAGAGAGUAAUCAGCUCCCUGUGGGAAGGCAUGGGUCAGGAAGCCUUCUUGUGGGCUGAUGCUUGAGGUAAGUCUUACAAAGGGUCAGGCGCAUUCUCAACUAUGAAUGCACCACCGCCUUCAGGCCUGGCGACGAGAGUGGGGAGUUCCUCUGAUUCCUACAGAGGUGACCGUCUUCACCUCUCAGCUUCUGGACUGUGUGACGCCAGGUGACGCUUUACAAUAUGGCCCCUUGGGUGGAACCACGGCAUCUAGAAUCAGGAGACUCAGGUUUUACACCUUGUCUUUCCACAAACCCCCUGGGAGACCUCAGGCAAAUUCUUAGCAUCCAUAUGUCUUGGUUCUAGCUUCUGUUAAAUGGGGAGAAAGCAAUCUUGCCUCAUAUCACGGGGGAGGGGAGUGGUUGUGAGGAUCGAAUGAGACAAAAGAUGUAAAAUGCUCCGAAAAGAUGGAAGCUCUGCUUUCAAAAUGAUCUGAAGUCACGAGCUGGAUCUUCCACAGCGUUUCUUACCUUUGCCCCCCACCUUCCUUCAUGCUGCAGACACGGAGGGGCUUCAUUUUUGCCUCGUUUCACAGCUUACAGUCAGCCAAGGGGGAAAGAAUCAACAGCUCCUGAGGAUGUUUGGUGCAGCAGGCUACCACCGAAAAAGCUUAGAGACUCUCCCGUUGUCCGUCUGAAGUUGCGCUGCUGAAAAGGUUGGCUGACGGGGCAAAGAGGAAGAUCAUGUUUGAUUGUGAUGUUGCGCUCCGAGCAGCUCUCUCAGCACAAGCAUCAGGCGGAUGGCACCUUCUGGUCCUCACUGUCACCAUGCAUCUCAUCCUUGGAGAAGUCAAGCACUCUCCUCUGAUGCGAUGAGCCUGUGGUUCACUAUCACCAUUGCAUGAGCGAAUGAGCAAUCCUUUUCCUGUGAAUGGCCCUUUCAUGUAUGUCAACCACAGCCUGCAGUUCCCUACAAAAGGGAAGAACGUUGGGCAUUCCUACCCAGAACUGGAUGCUCUGGGGUCGGUUUCUAGACAGAGGUCACCCCUACUUUCCCAGACAUAGCCUGGCCCCAUCAUCAUCACACAGACUGGAUACUUCGGGUGAUACUAAAAUGCCCCAAUGAUGCUGAUUGUUUCCUACACAGAUGACUCUCGUGGUAUUACUCAUAUGAAUAAUAACACAGGCUAUUGAGCUCUCUUAGAAUGGAGUCACUUUUUUUCUGUUAUGCUCUGUUCCUUCUCUGCCUGGAGCCUUAGGGAGCGACCCCCAUGUUGCUUUAGACUGUCCUCUAUUGCUUGGAUGAGGCCUUUUCACCUGCACCAGAGGCUCAGAUUGGUACCGUGGGAUGACCUCAGAUACCCCUCAAAGUGUGCUGGCAAACCUGCUCCAAUAUACCCCGAAUUCUGAAAACAUUUUCUCUCUUCUGCCCAAGGAGACUCAACCGAUUCUGGGGUGAAAUUUGGUAACCCUGGUUUGGGAAGUGAAGAUUACCUUGUCUUUUUGUGGAAAGUGAAAGAGGAAUUGAGGCAAGGAAGCUAGUGCUCUUCAUGCAGUUCCAGAAUCUCCACUUUCUCCUCGCCCUGGAGCACUCCAAUCGCCACGCCAGGAGUGGUCAGGGCCCCGUGGCCUGGGGCAUUUUUAAAAUAUCUCUCUAAAUGCUUUACUGUUGUUAGAAGAAGAUAUUCAAGUAUUGAAAGCUCAUCAUAUUCUUCAGGAACGACUUUUUUGUUUGUUUUUUUAAAUUAACAUAUAGUAAAAUUAAGGUUUUUUUGGUGUGCAAUUUUAUGAGUUUUCAUGCACGUCCAGAUUCCUGUAGCCCCCGCCACAAUCAGGACGCAGAGCAGUGCCAUCACCCGUGCUGUCUCUGCAGCACACUCUCCCCUUCCUGCCCCCUACAACCACUCACCUGCUCCCGCUCCAGUCUUGCCUUUUCCAGAAAGUCACGUAAAUGGACCCAGGCAGUAUUUAACCUUUCGAGCCUGUCCUCUUUCCCCCAGCAUCCUGCCUUUGAGAUUUGCCCACGUUGUCAUGUUUGUCAAUAGCUUCUUCUCCUUUAUUGCUGAGUAGGAUUUUAUUGUCCUGGUGCAAACAUAACUUAGCAUUUUCAGUGUAGCGCAGACCUAUGAGCGCUGCAAAGAAAUGGCACUUGGGUCACUAAGCGAAGAAGCAGCCAAGGUUUGUUCUUCAAAUUCCGUGGUUACUUGUCAUAAUCAUGUUGGGUGGUCAUCUGGAGAUGAAAGGAACAGGCAGCUUGUAUUCUAGAGCAAAAUAAGCCCAGAGAAAGCAGAGGCCCGAGCCCCUCAGGCUUUACAAAGCCUCUUCUGUGCAGCGUUGACAGGCUAGUAACGUAUUUCUUCUUCUAGUUACCCAGUGUGUGUUACCGGCACUAACCCAUGCAGUGGCCUCAAGGGGACAUUUGGCCAUGUCUAGAGAUGUUUUUGAUUAUAACACUGGGGAAGGGCUCCUGGCAUCUAGUGAGUAGCCAGGGAUGCUGCUAAACAUCCUACAAUGCACAGGACUGCCCCGACGACGCAGAAUUAUGUGGCCCAAAUGUCAAUAGCACAGAGGUUGAGAAAUCUUGAUCUAAUGUAUCCCAGAUACUCUUUAAAAAAAAAGUCUUUCAUGUGUUUUGAGUUGGACUGAAAAUCUCAGCAGAAAAGGGGCAUAUCCUUUUUGUGAAGGAUCAUUAUUUUCCUCCAAAUAUUGAGUGACAACCAAGGGAGUAAGAGUCAGAAAGAUGAGGACAGUGACUAUUCAAACCCAUGAAGAACUGUGCAAAUCCCCAUCAAACAGCCCUCCUACACCGAGCAGCGUGUGGCCGCCCCAGACAAUCGUGGUCGCCCACAUCCGGACCGUGCACGCUCUGCUUGCAGCCUGCAACGCCCUUCAUGCUUCUCCUACCUGGAGAACGCAGCCGUGGGGGCCACCACCUUUGGGUGCCGUGGUCAGGAAUCGCUCCUUAUGGCUCCCAUACCACCUGGCACUUACCUGUAAUGUGACAUUCUUCACAGUGCCUUGGAAUUUGCUGGUCUCUCAUCAUGUUGUGUCCUCUGCACAGAGUCCCAAGCCUGGCAGUUGGCACUCAAUAAUUUUAAAUUAAGAAAAGCAUUUUCUAGAUAUAUUUGGAUACUCAUUCAUUCGUUUGUUCAACCAUUUAGUAAAUAUUUACCAAGUACCUACUAAAUGCCAGGCAAUAGUCCGAGUGCUGGGGACACAGGAGAGACACAAGGCCCUGUCCUCACCAGGCUCGCACGCUACAGCAAGUGUGGCUAGCUUUCUUCUGUAAGGGGCCAGAUAAUAAGGAUUUUUGGCUUCGCAGGCCAUGUGGUCUCUAUUGCAACUACUCGUCUCUACAGCUGUCAUGUGAAAGCAGCCACAGACCACGUGGAAACGAACGAGAGCAGCUGUGUCCCAACAAAAAUUUAUUUACAAAAACAGGCAGCAAGUGUGAGGUGGCCCUCAGUCUGUAGUUUGCCAACCGUUAUUGUAGAGGGAAGCCAGAUAAUAAACAAAUAAACAUAAAAUUCAAG